Molecule: ribosomal RNA, 207 nt
Filed under: uncultured bacterium
Lineage: Bacteria
Description: partial 16S ribosomal RNA
Rfam family: Bacterial small subunit ribosomal RNA
Source: RNAcentral
CGUGUAGGCGGCCAUUUAAGUCUGGAGUGAAAGUCCUGUUUUAAGGUGGGAAUUGCUUUGGAUACUGGAUGGCUUGAGUGCAGGAGAGGUUAUCGGAAUUCCCGGUGUAGCGGUGAAAUGCGUAGAGAUCGGGAGGAACACCAGUGGCGAAGGCGGGUAACUGGACUGCAACUGACGCUGAGGCGCGAAAGUGUGGGGAGCAAACAG